UACGGAGGGUGCGAGCGUUGUCCGGAAUUACUGGGCGUAAAGCGUGCGCAGGCGGCCAUGCAAGACAGAUGUGAAAUCCCCGGGCUCAACCUGGGAACUGCAUUUGUGACUGCAUGGCUAGAGUACGGCAGAGGGGGAUGGAAUUCCGCGUGUAGCAGUGAAAUGCGUAGAUAUGCGGAGGAACACCGAUGGCGAAGGCAAUCCCCUGGGCCUGUACUGACGCUCAUGCACGAAAGCGUGGGGAGCAAACAGG
This 253-nucleotide ribosomal RNA is filed under the name uncultured bacterium. RNAcentral describes it as "partial 16S ribosomal RNA". It matches the Rfam family "Bacterial small subunit ribosomal RNA", at positions 524 to 776 of the family's 1533-position model. The record is from RNAcentral.